RNAcentral lists this unclassified non-coding RNA (300 nucleotides) under uncultured Entrophospora. Its description in RNAcentral is "uncultured Claroideoglomus sequence contains 5.8S rRNA gene, ITS2". The stretch from base 1 to 71 matches the Rfam family "5.8S ribosomal RNA", at positions 84 to 154 of the family's 154-position model. The record is from RNAcentral. Lineage: Eukaryota; Fungi; Glomeromycota; Glomeromycetes; Entrophosporales; Entrophosporaceae.
GUGAGUCAUCGAAUCUUUGAACGCAUAUUGCACUCUCUGGUAAUCCGGAGAGUAUGCCUGUUUGAGGGUCAGUAAAUAAUAAUUAUCAUGAAUCUUUGAUUUAUGGAAUUGGGCAUUUAUUUCGACAGAUCUAUGGCCUUAAAUUUACGUUAUGGGCUUGUCAUAUAAAAACCGAUCUAAAGGAGCAAUUAAACAUUCUCUCAUUAGCGCGGAUUUUUUUACAAGCUGUUACGAUCUUUGGUUGCUUUCAGCAUUUUUACGAGUGCGAAACCAAGAUCGUAAGCUUACUCUAACAAUGAC